This 255-nucleotide ribosomal RNA is filed under the name uncultured Eubacteriales bacterium. RNAcentral describes it as "uncultured Clostridiales bacterium partial 16S ribosomal RNA". It matches the Rfam family "Bacterial small subunit ribosomal RNA", at positions 84 to 339 of the family's 1533-position model. Lineage: Bacteria; Bacillati; Bacillota; Clostridia; Eubacteriales. The record is from RNAcentral.
UGUAGGCGCGAGUGGCGGACGGGUGAGUAACGCGUGAGUAAUCUGCCUCAUACAGGAGAAUAACACUAAGAAAUUGGUGCUAAUACUCCAUAAGCUCACAUUAUGACAUCAUAGAGUGAGAAAAGAUUUAUCGGUAUGAGAGGAGCUCGCGUCUGAUUAGCUAGUUGGUGGGGUAACGGCCUACCAAGGCAACGAUCAGUAGCCGACCUGAGAGGGUGAUCGGCCACAUUGGAACUGAGACACGGUCCAAACUCC